Molecule: long non-coding RNA, 571 nt
Filed under: Helianthus annuus (common sunflower)
Lineage: Eukaryota; Viridiplantae; Streptophyta; Magnoliopsida; Asterales; Asteraceae
Description: hypothetical non coding rna
Source: RNAcentral
UAUGGGGGUGUGCGUGGUUGCGUGUGUGGGGGUGGGGGUGUUCGCCGGUGCAAGGACGCCGGCCGGCCGCUCAUAACUCCGGUCGCCGGAGUUCAGUUCGAGAGGCAGAGGGAAAUGGGGCCUGGUGGACUACACGAGCUCUUAAAUGGAGUUGGUACAAUUAUUGUUGUAACAUUCACAGGGGAUGGUUCAUGUGUUCACCAUUCAUGUUUGCUUAAAGAAAUGUGAAAAAGAUUAUGGAUCAUGAAACAACAAUCAGAGGAAUGGUCUUUGACGUUUUGACAUGGAGAAAAGGGAAUGGAGUGUUUUGAAAGAAAAGCCUUAGGCUUGUACAAUCAGCAUUCAUUAUUAUGAUUAUUAUUUAUUUACUUAUAUGUCUACAUGUAUAUAUAUUUUUAUAAACUUUUUAUGCUAUGAUAUAUGGAUAUAAAUGUAUCCACGAGAUGUUUACUACCACAUAGUUUGUUUUUUUUUUCUUUUUCUAGAUACUAGUUUCUCCAUAUAUACAUAGAGUUAUAGUAAGUGGGUUGAACCCAAGGCCCGUUAGCGUAUUUUGAGCGGCCCAAAUCGU